Molecule: long non-coding RNA, 1933 nt
Filed under: Homo sapiens (human)
Lineage: Eukaryota; Metazoa; Chordata; Mammalia; Primates; Hominidae
Description: HSALNT0153928
Source: RNAcentral
GUUUUCCACGUUUGUGGUAAUAAUGUCACCUGAGGGUUUCUACUAGAUUAAGUAAAGGAAGAAACAGAGUGGGAGGGGAAUGAAGUGUGACAAACUCUCUUAUAAAAGAUAAGGCAAAAAUGGCAGUCAAUUAUUGUUUCUGAUAAAUGUAAUGUCAUCCAAUAAUUUAUAGUAAUUCUGAGAACUAUAGCCAGUAAAAUGAAUUUGCAUAGUCUGUCUUCUUUAGGACACUGAUUUUCAAACUUGAAUGCACACUGGAAUCACCCGAGGAAUUUAAAAAAACACCGACACCUGGAUCCCACACAAGGACCCUGAUUUAAAUGGAUAAUCCUCACCAGCCUCAGAGUUCAUGUCUGAAAGUAUAGAGGCGGCAGAUAACCAAUGCAAGUGAACAUGGGUGAAAAUGGAUGAAAGUCCAUCUGGGCUGUCUGCAAAAUGAGAAGAUUCUAGACACUGUUUCUUAAAUACCUUGGAGGCGAGGAUCACAAAAUGCUCUCAGAAGUUUAUGAAAGCUAUGGAGUCUCCGGAAAUAUUCAGAAUUUUGCAUGUAAUUUUCAUAGAUUGCAGAUUCCCUGAAGAACACCAGUAGUUGAGGACUCCUAGAACCCAGGUUCUGGAUGAAGCCUUCCACCAUUUUAAAGCUCCUUUUAUGGAUAUUUCUGGUUUUGGUCUCAGAUUUUCAUUCUCCAAACAUUCUCUUUAGAUGACCACAUUCACUUUCAAGUAUUCAUGCCAAAUAAAUCUUCAUUUCCAGCCCAGACCUCCCUCCAAACUCUUGGUUUGUUUAGUCACUUGCAACACAGAUUAUUCAUCCAGAUUUCCAUGGGCAUCUCAAAAUCAACACAUCCAAAAUGAAGUUAUCAUCCCUGAUAAUCCUCCUAGCUCCUGUCCCAUUCAUCUCCCUCCCAUCUCUCACCCAUAAAGAAUUAACUACUGAUGUUUCUCACUAACCAACCCAUAAUAAUGACCUGCAUUAAUUAAUCCAUGUGCAAUUCAGAAUUACUUACAUUCAUUUAUCCAUGUGAUAUUUUCACUCAUUAAUCACCAUCGUCUGCAUAUGUAAACAGGAACAACAACAUCCACCUAUCCCAGCAGGGGUUUUGCAAUUACUUUAAAGCCUUUUCAAAUAUAUUUUUGUGUGAUUAAAAUGAUGGAGAUAUUUCAAAUGAAUUCAAGUAUAAAAUGCAAAAUAUUCCAACUUCAUAAACUGUUUACUUCUGGCUUAGAAAAUGUUAAUAUUUUUACUCAACCCAUCUGGCUCUGGAGAUGCUGUGUGUGCUUGAUAAUUGUAUGUGAAAAUUAUUAUUUGCAUCUUUAAAAAUUACUUGAGGAAUGCUAUUUAUUAAACUUGUUAUUCCUAUCUAUUUUUUGACAACAUAAUACAACUUUAAAUUCAAAAGAAAAAUUGACAAGACAUAUUUUAGCAGUUUAAAAUGAACAUCACAGAUACAAAAUGAUCAAAGUAAAAUAUUAUUAGCUGUAGAUGACUCAAAUAUUUCCUCGUCUUACUGUCUUUUGUUUUGAUGUGAUUUCCUUCCAUCCUUAAAAAAUCCUGUAGCACCAUCUGCUCCUAUAACACUUUGGCAUGCUUAAAAAUUUCAUUUCCAGACUCGGCAGUUUUGAAAUACUUCCAUGGACAUUUCUUAAAGAAAAUAAGUUGGAAGAAUUUCCAUUCCUCCCAGCUUGUUUCUUAAUAAACAGCAGACGAAGUACUCAAGAAACACAGAGCUAUAUAAAUGUUUUGUUAUAAUCAGACAUUUCCCUUCUGAUUUUCCCUCUGACCCUGUGGCUAUAUUAUGCCUGAGGAAACAGUAUUUUAUAUGCUAUGUGCACAGUUUAUGCAACAAUUUUUUAAUAUGCAGAUCUGGUUUUAUAAUCUGAAUUCUAAAAUGUAAUGAAUUUCCAUGAAGUGUAUGUUUCAUGGAUAAGCCAG